UAUCUCGCUCUCUUUAAGGAGAUUCAAGCCCACUGCAACAAAUCUUUACCAGUCCAGCAGUAGUCUUCCUGACUUGUGAUACAACAGCCCGACCACAUCGUAUAACUCAACAAACUCUAGACAAGAUGUUGAGUCUAAAGCUCCACCAAAAAAACACCUUCCUUCAAUUAAAUAAAACUCUUUUUUUUAUAACUCAGUUUUCAUGCACUCUAUAUUUUUCUCUACCCACCAAAAGCUACGGAAGACUUCUAUUAAUAGUUUAGAAAUUCAUCCUUGGAGUGAAUAGGAAGAGAAACGGGAUAAUAAUGUGAGUAAAUAAUGAGAGAAUUAUUUCUUAGGGGUUACAUGAGUUACAAGAAGAAUGUGGGUAAGUUAAUGUGAUAAUGGAGAAAUGAGUUACAAAGAAACUUAUGGCCUCAUUAUGCCACCAGAACGUGAGAGUUCAAAGAGACCAUUCACUGCCUCUUAAUGGCCACAAAUAAAUAGGAUUAAAAUGUGAAUGCAGCAACACAGAACGUGUGGCAAUGGCAUAAUGCACUUUAAUGCAAUAUCAUUUAAUAUUAAAAUGUUCUAAAGGUCCAUCAGUUUGGAUGUCUUUCGUUUUACUUUUUUCUUAAUAACAGCUAGCGCGCAUAUCAACUAUUUCACCGGGCACUUGCAUCCUCUCAUCAUGUCUCGGGUAACUCUACCCACCAAGGUUUAGGUUGAUGGGAAGAAAUCGCCUAACUUUUUAUUUCUGCUAAGGUUUGAACUAUGGUAAUUUUGCCAACUUCAUCAACAACCUACAAGUCUUUAACUGCUGGUGAACAAUCAAAGUUGAUCUUUUUGAGCAUCAGCAUUGCGUGUAUACUUUUCGACUGCAGAUUGUAAUAUAUCCUUACUCAGGUUUGUCUAUUUCAAAAUGCAGUAUUAAAAGUUUCUAACCAAAGGCCUCUGCCUUUUUAGGAAUCGAAGUAUGGCCAGGAAAGCAUAUCCACAGCCACAAUUACCGGGUUCCUGAGCCUUUUCGAGAUCAAGGGGUGCCACAAGUGCUACUGAUAUCUCCAGAGAAAUUGCUGCAGUUGCUAAAGCGGUCCAUAUUUCUUCUAGAUCAGCUCUAAGUGGGACUCCCACAAAGCUGCAUGGAUAUAAAAAUCUUUGGCUGCACUCUAUGAUUGAAUCUGUUGGUAUAGAUGGUACAGUCAAUUAUCAAGACGGGUCCAAAGUCUAUGCUGAUAUCAUCCUACAUUGGACAGGGUA
Lycium ferocissimum is the source of this 1239-nucleotide long non-coding RNA. RefSeq lists it as uncharacterized. The record is from RefSeq and is a predicted model, not a curated record. Lineage: Eukaryota; Viridiplantae; Streptophyta; Magnoliopsida; Solanales; Solanaceae. The transcript has 3 exons.